Molecule: transfer RNA, 73 nt
Filed under: Diaphorina citri (Asian citrus psyllid)
Lineage: Eukaryota; Metazoa; Arthropoda; Insecta; Hemiptera; Psyllidae
Rfam family: tRNA
About the family: Transfer RNA (tRNA) molecules are approximately 80 nucleotides in length. Their secondary structure includes four short double-helical elements and three loops (D, anti-codon, and T loops).
Source: Rfam by way of RNAcentral
GUCUAGUUAGCUUUAUUGGUAGUGUGUCUGCCUUGUAAGCGCAAGGUUGCGGGUCCGAUUCCCGCACGGGGCG